GGGGACGUAGCUCAAUUGGGAGAGCGCCUGGUUUGCAACCAGGAGGUUGGCGGUUCGAUCCCGCUCGUCUCCA
This 73-nucleotide transfer RNA is filed under the name Planctomycetaceae bacterium. RNAcentral describes it as "tRNA-Ala". It matches the Rfam family "tRNA". Rfam says of the family: Transfer RNA (tRNA) molecules are approximately 80 nucleotides in length. Their secondary structure includes four short double-helical elements and three loops (D, anti-codon, and T loops). Further hydrogen bonds mediate the characteristic L-shaped molecular structure. tRNAs have two regions of fundamental functional importance: the anti-codon, which is responsible for specific mRNA codon recognition, and the 3' end, to which the tRNAs corresponding amino acid is attached (by aminoacyl-tRNA synthetases). tRNAs cope with the degeneracy of the genetic code in two manners: having more than one tRNA (with a specific anti-codon) for a particular amino acid; and 'wobble' base-pairing, i.e. permitting non-standard base-pairing at the 3rd anti-codon position. Lineage: Bacteria; Pseudomonadati; Planctomycetota; Planctomycetia; Planctomycetales; Planctomycetaceae. The record is from RNAcentral. RNAcentral also lists the same sequence under 4 other names.